AUUGAACGCUGGCGGCAGGCCUAACACAUGCAAGUCGAACGGUAACAGGAAACAGCUUGCUGUUUCGCUGACGAGUGGCGGACGGGUGAGUAAUGUCUGGGAAACUGCCUGAUGGAGGGGGAUAACUACUGGAAACGGUAGCUAAUACCGCAUAACGUCGCAAGACCAAAGAGGGGGACCUUCGGGCCUCUUGCCAUCAGAUGUGCCCAGAUGGGAUUAGCUAGUAUGUGGGGUAACGGCUCACCUAGGCGACGAUCCCUAGCUGGUCUGAGAGGAUGACCAGCCACACUGGAACUGAGACACGGUCCAGACUCCUACGGGAGGCAGCAGUGGGGAAUAUUGCACAAUGGGCGCAAGCCUGAUGCAGCCAUGCCGCGUGUAUGAAGAAGGCCUUCGGGUUGUAAAGUACUUUCAGCGGGGAGGAAGGGAGUAAAGUUAAUACCUUUGCUCAUUGACGUUACCCGCAGAAGAAGCACCGGCUAACUCCGUG
Molecule: ribosomal RNA, 490 nt
Filed under: uncultured bacterium
Lineage: Bacteria
Description: partial 16S ribosomal RNA
Rfam family: Bacterial small subunit ribosomal RNA
Source: RNAcentral